CCUACGGGAGGCAGCAGUGGGGAAUAUUGCACAAUGGGCGCAAGCCUGAUGCAGCCAUGCCGCGUGUGUGAAGAAGGCCUUCGGGUUGUAAAGCACUUUCAGUCAGGAGGAAAGGUUAGUAGUUAAUACCUGCUAGCUGUGACGUUACUGACAGAAGAAGCACCGGCUAACUCCGUGCCAGCAGCCGCGGUAAUACGGAGGGUGCGAGCGUUAAUCGGAAUUACUGGGCGUAAAGCGUACGCAGGCGGUUUGUUAAGCGAGAUGUGACAGCCCCGGGCUCAACCUGGGAACUGCAUUUCGAACUGGCAAACUAGAGUGUGAUAGAGGGUGGUAGAAUUUCAGGUGUAGCGGUGAAAUGCGUAGAGAUCUGAAGGAAUACCGAUGGCGAAGGCAGCCACCUGGGUCAACACUGACGCUCAUGUACGAAAGCGUGGGGAGCAAACAGGAUUAGAUACCCUGGUAGUCCACGCCGUAAACGAUGUCUACUAGAAGCUCGGAACCUCGGUUCUGUUUUUCAAAGCUAACGCAUUAAGUAGACCGCCUGGGGAGUACGGCCGCAAGGUUAAAACUCAAAUGAAUUGACGG
This 585-nucleotide ribosomal RNA is filed under the name Pseudoalteromonas sp. ZJ0208B79. Its description in RNAcentral is "bacterial SSU rRNA". It matches the Rfam family "Bacterial small subunit ribosomal RNA", at positions 338 to 916 of the family's 1533-position model. Lineage: Bacteria; Pseudomonadati; Pseudomonadota; Gammaproteobacteria; Alteromonadales; Pseudoalteromonadaceae. The record is from RNAcentral.